This 85-nucleotide transfer RNA is filed under the name Acidobacteriota bacterium. RNAcentral describes it as "tRNA-Leu". It matches the Rfam family "tRNA". Rfam says of the family: Transfer RNA (tRNA) molecules are approximately 80 nucleotides in length. RNAcentral also lists the same sequence under 5 other names. The record is from RNAcentral. Lineage: Bacteria; Pseudomonadati; Acidobacteriota.
GCGAAAGUGGCGGAAUUGGCAGACGCACCAGACUUAGGAUCUGGCGGGUAAAACCGUGGGGGUUCAAGUCCCCCCUUUCGCACCA